AUUGAACGCUGGCGGCAGGCCUAACACAUGCAAGUCGAACGGUAACAGGAAGCAGCUUGCUGCUUUGCUGACGAGUGGCGGACAGGUGAGUAAUGUCUGGGAAACUGCCUGAUGGAGGGGGAUAACUACUGGAAACGGUAGCUAAUACCGCAUAACGUCGCAAGACCAAAGAGGGGGACCUUAGGGCCUCUUGCCAUCGGAUGUGCCCAGAUGGGAUUAGCUAGUAGGUGGGGUAACGGCUCACCUAGGCGACGAUCCCUAGCUGGUCUGAGAGGAUGACCAGCCACACUGGAACUGAGACACGGUCCAGACUCCUACGGGAGGCAGCAGUAGGGAAUAUUGCACAAUGGGCGCAAGCCUGAUGCAGCCAUGCCGCGUGUAUGAAGAAGGCCUUCGGGUUGUAAAGUACUUUCAGCGGGGAGGAAGAGAGUAAAGUGAAUACCUUUGCUCAUUGACGUUACCCGCAGAAGAAGCACCGGCUAACUCCGUG
Molecule: ribosomal RNA, 490 nt
Filed under: uncultured bacterium
Lineage: Bacteria
Description: partial 16S ribosomal RNA
Rfam family: Bacterial small subunit ribosomal RNA
Source: RNAcentral